AUGUCGGCAUCUGAAGAAACUCGGGGCAGCAUGAAGAAGAAGGAGAAGAAGAAGACGACGGGCUGCCUCGCGCCAAUCUUCGCCGCCUGCGUCCCCUCCGCCAGGCAGCAGCCCGGCGGCGACGACGAUGCCGCCAGGAGCCGCCUCAGCUUCUCGUUCGCGGAGCAGAGCCAGCCCGAGAGCAUCAUCGACCCGGCCGCCUCGGUCGUGGCCAGGAAGGACGGCCGGCACCAGCAGCAGCCGCAGCACUGCGCCGUCAUCGUCGGCACCAUCUUCGGGAGCCGCAGCGGCCGCGUGACCUUCUGCGUGCAGCGCGACCCGGCCGUGCCGCCCCCGUUCCUCUUCGAGCUCUCCGUGCCCAUGCAGUCCCUCGCCGCCGAGAUGGCGUCCGGCCUUCUCCGCAUCGCGCUCGAGUGCCACCGCUCCAGCGGCAGGUCGUCCGCGCCCGGUGCGGCCGGCGAAAAUGCUGCUGCUGCCGGCGGCAGCUCCCGCCCGAGAAACGUCUGGACGGCGUCCUGCAACGGCCGGGACGCCGGACAUGCCGUGCGGCGGCCGCCGACGGAGUGGGAGCGGGGCGUGCUGGAGAGCAUGCGGACGAUGACGGCCGGCGUCGGGGCGCUGCCGGCAGCCGAGCCGCAAGAAGGGAUCAGCGAGGAGGUGAUGUAUAUGAGGGCGACCUACGAGAGGGUGGUGGGCUCCAAGGACGCGGUGUCGUACCAUCUCAUCAGCCCACGCACCGCCGGCGAUAGCCCGCCGCAGGAGCUCAGCCUCUUCCUGCUGAGAACCAGAGGGGAUUGA
RNAcentral lists this ribosomal RNA (798 nucleotides) under Triticum aestivum (bread wheat). Its description in RNAcentral is "partial small subunit ribosomal RNA". Lineage: Eukaryota; Viridiplantae; Streptophyta; Magnoliopsida; Poales; Poaceae. The record is from RNAcentral.